UCCUUAAUCUUGUUUUGUUAUAUUUUGAUCCAUUUUAAGUUUAAUUACCUUGUUAAAUUUGUUUUUCGACCAUUAAGGAAGUUUUUGUAGUGGGCACUCAAGUGAAACGUGGACAUUUACAAAGCCUAAAGGCUCAUGACAGUUUCUAAUCUAGUUAGUAUGAGUCCAUUAAAUAAAAUAAAGGGUAAAACACUCAAAUCAAUAUAAAUUUUGACUAAUAUUCAAUAUGAGUCCAUUAGUAUUAGAAAUAGACAUUCCACCCCAUAACUCUUAAUGUUGUUAACAAACUUUAGAAAAAGACUAAAAUGCCCAUCAAAUAAAAACACCUAAGUCAGAACCACAACAGGUUUAUGGUUUUAGUUUCUUUUUCUUCCCCUUUUUCUUCUUUCUUUGAAACCGUUUCUUCUCCUCAAACUCUUUCUCUUUAAAUCCGUUUCUUUUCUUUAAAAGUGUAUCUUUUGUCUUCUCUUUCAUGGCAUUUCCUUUCCUUUGCUUUCCAUUCCCUUCCUUCCAUUCUCCUUGGUUGAAGUUCUAAUAGCUUAGUUGAGUUCUCUUUAGACAAUUUUUCUUCUUUUUGCUCAAAAAAUUAAAUUGAAAAAUUAUACAUAAUAAGAAGUCUAGAACACUCCAAUAAGGUUAGUCUUGGACUAUCCUUCCAGAAACCUUUUACCAUUUCAUCUUCACUCCAUAGAAAAUGCUUUAUCUUUUAUCCCACAUAACUAUUGAAAUUUGUUGAAGAUAGUGAUGGUGUUUACUGCUGGUAACUUUUAUGAGCUUGAGCUACUAAGGACACGGAGUUGUGAAGUAGUGGUUUUUGUUUGGUUGUAUAGGAAAUGGAAAUUUUGUUGUGGCUGGAUGACUCUAUGUAAGGCCGACUUUAAGGUAAGUAAAGGUUUUAAGUAUCAAAUUUUCAUAAAUCUCUUAAUAUAUAAAAAUUAAGAUAAUUAAUAAAAAUCUACUUAUUUUCUCAUAUCUAAUAAAUAUAUAUUUUCUCUCUUUUUCACAUCUCAAUUAAUUAUCAACUAUUUAUCUCAUUUUUUAUUAAAAAUAUGUAAAAAUCAAAAUAAUUAAUAAAAUGACAU
This 1082-nucleotide long non-coding RNA is filed under the name Theobroma cacao (cacao). RNAcentral describes it as "long non-coding RNA (TCAC_LNC005598)". Lineage: Eukaryota; Viridiplantae; Streptophyta; Magnoliopsida; Malvales; Malvaceae. The record is from RNAcentral.